GUUUUGGGUAAUCUUCCGAGCAUGCGCAGUGUUAAACCGGACACGUUUCCCUGGGUUACCGUCAACAAUUCUGUUAGCUUAAAACAGCUAGGUUAGUUUGUCUGCGGGUUUCUGUUGUUUAUCACCCGUUUUAUGUUGGUAUAAUGAAGCACACGUUUUUCAUGUCACAAUUUAAGUCUGACUAAAGCUAAUUUAACUACAACAGCGGAAAAGGAGCGCAACGGCUAACUAGCUUUAGCUAACACAUGCUAGCAUGCUAAUGUCAGUGUGCGCAAUGAGGAGAAAACCGUUUGUAGUUUUCAGGAUGACAACUCAGGAUUUCAGAACACUGGCUUACACGAAAAGCCCGAAAACAUCGAAAAGAACAACCUUUCAGGAUGAACUACAGGCUGCUAUCUCUGCCAGAGCAAGCAAAACAAAACACUUCAAUACUCCUACUAUAAUGACUUCGAUGUGGAUGAUGAUGAUUUUUUGAAGGAACUUCUCAAAUCAAGAAAAAUGAGGACUGAUGCAUUCAAGGCCGGGAAGAGCAAAGCCAAAACAAACACCUUUGAGCUCUCAGAUGAUGAAGGAAAACAGAGUAGGACAAAAAAGUUUCAUUCCUGAAGUCUCAAAGAAUCAGUUCUCCUUCAAACGACGCAACAGCAUCAGAGUCGCAUGAAAACGAGCUUCCAGACUCCUCUGCCGGACACACUAAUUACAAUGGAUC
Long non-coding RNA from Acanthochromis polyacanthus (spiny chromis), 709 nucleotides. RefSeq lists it as uncharacterized. NCBI's taxonomy places the organism in Eukaryota, Metazoa, Chordata, Actinopteri, Pomacentridae. The transcript has 3 exons. The record is from RefSeq and is a predicted model, not a curated record.